RNAcentral lists this ribosomal RNA (253 nucleotides) under uncultured bacterium. Its description in RNAcentral is "partial 16S ribosomal RNA". It matches the Rfam family "Bacterial small subunit ribosomal RNA", at positions 524 to 776 of the family's 1533-position model. The record is from RNAcentral.
UACGAAGGGGGCUAGCGUUGCUCGGAAUCACUGGGCGUAAAGCGCACGUAGGCGGACUCUUAAGUCGGUGGUGAAAUCCUGGAGCUCAACUCCAGAACUGCCUUCGAUACUGAGAGUCUUGAGUCCGAGAGAGGUGAGUGGAACUGCGAGUGUAGAGGUGAAAUUCGUAGAUAUUCGCAAGAACACCAGUGGCGAAGGCGGCUCACUGGCUCGGUACUGACGCUGAGGUGCGAAAGCGUGGGGAUCAAACAGG